RNAcentral lists this transfer RNA (71 nucleotides) under Kraemeria cunicularia (transparent sand dart). RNAcentral's name for it is "tRNA-Asp". It matches the Rfam family "tRNA". Rfam says of the family: Transfer RNA (tRNA) molecules are approximately 80 nucleotides in length. Their secondary structure includes four short double-helical elements and three loops (D, anti-codon, and T loops). Lineage: Eukaryota; Metazoa; Chordata; Actinopteri; Gobiiformes; Kraemeriidae. The record is from RNAcentral.
GAGGCACUAGUAUAAAGACAGCACACUACUUUGUCAAGGUAGAAUUGCAGGUUAAACCCCUGCGUGCCUCA